AAGCGUAAUAGCUCACUGAUCGAGUCGUCCUGCGCGGAAGAUGUAACGGGGCUAAGCCAUAUACCGAAGCUGCGGAUGCGAGCUAGUCUCGCAUGGUAGGAGAGCGUUCCGUAAGCCUGCGAAGGUGCGUUGAAAAGCGUGCUGGAGGUAUCGGAAGUGCGAAUGCUGACAUGAGUAGCGAUAAAGGGGGUGAAAGGCCCCCUCGCCGUAAGCCCAAGGUUUCCUACGCAACGUUCAUCGGCGUAGGGUGAGUCGGCCCCUAAGGCGAGGCAGAAAUGCGUAGCUGAUGGGAAGCAGGUCAAUAUUCCUGCACCGUCGUUAGAUGCGAUGGGGGGACGGAUCGCGGAAGGUUGUCCGGGUGUUGGAAGUCCCGGUCGCUGCAUUGGAGAAGGCGCUUAGGCAAAUCCGGGCGCAGGAUUCAAGGGUGUGGCGCGAGCUCCUUCGGGAGCGAAGCAAUUGGAAGUGGUUCCAAGAAAAGCCUCUAAGCUUCAGUCUAACGAUGACCGUACCGCAAACCGACACAGGUGGGCGAGAUGAGUAUUCUAAGGCGCUUGAGAGAACUCGGGAGAAGGAACUCGGCAAAUUGGUACCGUAACUUCGGGAUAAGGUACGCCCUGGUAGCUUGACUGGCCUGCGCCAGAAGGGUGAAGGGGUUGCAAUAAACUGGUGGCUGCGACUGUUUAAUAAAAACACAGCACUCUGCAAACACGAAAGUGGACGUAUAGGGUGUGACGCCUGCCCGGUGCCGGAAGAUUAAAUGAUGGGGUGCAAGCUCUUGAUUGAAGUCCCGGUAAACGGCGGCCGUAACUAUAACGGUCCUAAGGUAGCGAAAUUCCUUGUCGGGUAAGUUCCGACCUGCACGAAUGGCGUAACGAUGGCCACACUGUCUCCUCCCGAGACUCAGCGAAGUUGAAGUGUUUGUGAUGAUGCAAUCUACCCGCGGCUAGACGGAAAGACCCCAUGAACCUUUACUGUAGCUUUGCAUUGGACUUUGAACCGAUCUGUGUAGGAUAGGUGGGAGGCUAUGAAACCGGAACGCUAGUUUCGGUGGAGCCGUCCUUGAAAUACCACCCUGGUUUGUUUGAGGUUCUAACCUUGGCCCGUGAUCCGGGUCGGGGACAGUGCAUGGUAGGCAGUUUGACUGGGGCGGUCUCCUCCCAAAGCGUAACGGAGGAGUACGAAGGUACGCUAGGUACGGUCGGAAAUCGUGCUGAUAGUGCAAUGGCAUAAGCGUGCUUAACUGCGAGACCGACAAGUCGAGCAGGUGCGAAAGCAGGUCAUAGUGAUCCGGUGGUUCUGUAUGGAAGGGCCAUCGCUCAACGGAUAAAAGGUACUCUGGGGAUAACAGGCUGAUACCGCCCAAGAGUUCAUAUCGACGGCGGUGUUUGGCACCUCGAUGUCGGCUCAUCUCAUCCUGGGGCUGUAGCCGGUCCCAAGGGUAUGGCUGUUCGCCAUUUAAAGAGGUACGUGAGCUGGGUUUAAAACGUCGUGAGACAGUUUGGUCCCUAUCUGCCGUGGGCGUUGGAAGUUUGAAGGGGGCUGCUCCUAGUACGAGAGGACCGGAGUGGACGAACCUCUGGUGUACCGGUUGUGACGCCAGUCGCAUCGCCGGGUAGCUAUGUUCGGAAGAGAUAACCGCUGAAAGCAUCUAAGCGGGAAACUCGCCUUAAGAUGAGACUUCCCCGGGGACUUGAUCCCCUUGAAGGGUCGUUCGAGACCAGGACGUUGAUAGGUCGGGUGUGUAAGCGCAGUAAUGCGUUCAGCUAACCGAUACUAAUUGCCCGUACGGCUUGAUC
This 1796-nucleotide ribosomal RNA is filed under the name Burkholderia pseudomallei 576. Its description in RNAcentral is "bacterial LSU rRNA". It matches the Rfam family "Bacterial large subunit ribosomal RNA", at positions 1130 to 2925 of the family's 2925-position model. The record is from RNAcentral. Lineage: Bacteria; Pseudomonadati; Pseudomonadota; Betaproteobacteria; Burkholderiales; Burkholderiaceae.